Molecule: ribosomal RNA, 2954 nt
Filed under: Acinetobacter baumannii
Lineage: Bacteria; Pseudomonadati; Pseudomonadota; Gammaproteobacteria; Moraxellales; Moraxellaceae
Description: bacterial LSU rRNA
Rfam family: Bacterial large subunit ribosomal RNA
Source: RNAcentral
GUUGUAUAGUCAAGUAAUUAAGUGCAUGUGGUGGAUGCCUUGGCAGUCAGAGGCGAUGAAAGACGUGAUAGCCUGCGAAAAGCUCCGGGGAGGCGGCAAAUAUCCUUUGAUCCGGAGAUGUCUGAAUGGGGGAACCCACCUACUUUAAGGUAGGUAUUGCAACAUGAAUACAUAGUGUUGCAAGGCGAACGAGGGGAAGUGAAACAUCUCAGUACCCUUAGGAAAAGAAAUCAAUUGAGAUUCCCUCAGUAGCGGCGAGCGAACGGGGAUCAGCCCAUUAAGUUAUGUGUGUUUUAGUGGAACGCUCUGGGAAGUGCGAACGUAGAGGGUGAUAUUCCCGUACACGAAAGGGCACACAUAAUGAUGACGAGUAGGGCGAGGCACGUGAAACCUUGUCUGAAUAUGGGGGGACCAUCCUCCAAGGCUAAAUACUCCUGACUGACCGAUAGUGAACCAGUACCGUGAGGGAAAGGCGAAAAGAACCCCUGUGAGGGGAGUGAAAUAGAUCCUGAAACCGCAUGCAUACAAGCAGUGGGAGCACCUUCGUGGUGUGACUGCGUACCUUUUGUAUAAUGGGUCAGCGACUUAUAUUCAGUAGCAAGGUUAACCGUAUAGGGGAGCCGUAGAGAAAUCGAGUCUUAAUAGGGCGUUUAGUUGCUGGGUAUAGACCCGAAACCAGGCGAUCUAUCCAUGAGCAGGUUGAAGGUUGGGUAACACUAACUGGAGGACCGAACCCACUGUCGUUGAAAAGCCAGGGGAUGACUUGUGGAUAGGGGUGAAAGGCUAAUCAAGCCUGGUGAUAGCUGGUUCUCCCCGAAAGCUAUUUAGGUAGCGCCUCGGACGAAUACCAUAGGGGGUAGAGCACUGUUUCGGCUAGGGGGUCAUCCCGACUUACCAAACCGAUGCAAACUCCGAAUACCUAUGAGUACUAUCCGGGAGACAGACUGCGGGUGCUAACGUCCGUAGUCAAGAGGAAAACAAUCCAGACCGCCAGCUAAGGCCCCAAAAUCAUAGUUAAGUGGGAAACGAUGUGGGAAGGCAUAGACAGCUAGGAGGUUGGCUUANNNNNNNNNNNNNNNNNNNNNNNGAAGCAGCCACCCUUUAAAGAAAGCGUAAUAGCUCACUAGUCGAGUCGGCCUGCGCGGAAGAUGUAACGGGGCUAAAACUAUGUGCCGAAGCUGCGGAUGUAUACUUUGUAUACGUGGUAGGGGAGCGUUCUGUAAGCCGAUGAAGGUGUGUUGAGAAGCNNNNNNNNNNNNNAUGCUGGAGGUAUCAGAAGUGCGAAUGCUGACGUGAGUAACGACAAAACGGGUGAAAAACCCGUUCGCCGAAAGACCAAGGGUUCCAGUCCAACGUUAAUCGGGGCUGGGUGAGUCGACCCCUAAGGCGAGGCCGAAAGGCGUAGUCGAUGGGAAAAUGGUUAAUAUUCCAUUACUUCUGUGUAAUGCGAUGAGAGGACGGAGAAGGCUAAAUCAGCCUGGCGUUGGUUGUCCAGGUGAAAGGAUGUAGGCAUGUAUCUUAGGCAAAUCCGGGGUACUCUAUGCUGAGAUCUGAUAGCAAGCUGUACUUGUACAGCGAAGUGGUUGAUGCCAUGCUUCCAGGAAAAGUCUCUAAGCUUCAGUUACACAGGAAUCGUACCCGAAACCGACACAGGUGGUCAGGUCGAGUAGACCAAGGCGCUUGAGAGAACUCUGCUGAAGGAACUAGGCAAAAUGGUACCGUAACUUCGGGAGAAGGUACGCUGUUGUUGGUGAUGGAACUCGCUUCCUGAGCUGACGACAGCCGCAGAAACCAGGCCGCUGCAACUGUUUAUUAAAAACAUAGCACUCUGCAAACACGAAAGUGGACGUAUAGGGUGUGAUGCCUGCCCGGUGCUGGAAGGUUAAUUGAUGGGGUUAGCGUAAGCGAAGCUCUUGAUCGAAGCCCCAGUAAACGGCGGCCGUAACUAUAACGGUCCUAAGGUAGCGAAAUUCCUUGUCGGGUAAGUUCCGACCUGCACGAAUGGCAUAAUGAUGGCGGCGCUGUCUCCAGCAGAGGCUCAGUGAAAUCGAAAUCGCUGUGAAGAUGCAGUGUACCCGCGGCUAGACGGAAAGACCCCGUGAACCUUUACUGCAGCUUGACACUGAACUUUGACCUUACUUGUGUAGGAUAGGUGGGAGGCUUUGAAGCUGGAACGCUAGUUCCAGUGGAGCCGUCCUUGAAAUACCACCCUGGUAAUGUUGAGGUUCUAACUCUGUCCCGUGAUCCGGGACGAGGACCGUGUCUGGUGGGUAGUUUGACUGGGGCGGUCUCCUCCUAAAGAGUAACGGAGGAGUACGAAGGUGCGCUCAGCGUGGUCGGAAAUCACGCGUAGAGUAUAAAGGCAAAAGCGCGCUUAACUGCGAGACCCACAAGUCGAGCAGGUACGAAAGUAGGUCUUAGUGAUCCGGUGGUUCUGUAUGGAAGGGCCAUCGCUCAACGGAUAAAAGGUACUCUGGGGAUAACAGGCUGAUACCGCCCAAGAGUUCAUAUCGACGGCGGUGUUUGGCACCUCGAUGUCGGCUCAUCUCAUCCUGGGGCUGAAGCAGGUCCCAAGGGUAUGGCUGUUCGCCAUUUAAAGAGGUACGCGAGCUGGGUUUAGAACGUCGUGAGACAGUUCGGUCCCUAUCUACCGUGGGCGCUGGAAAUUUGAGAGGAUCUGCUCCUAGUACGAGAGGACCAGAGUGGACGAACCUCUGGUGUACCGGUUGUGACGCCAGUCGCAUCGCCGGGUAGCUAUGUUCGGAAGGGAUAACCGCUGAAAGCAUCUAAGCGGGAAGCCUACCUCAAGAUAAGAUUUCCCUAGGACUUUAUGUCCUCUAAAGAGCCGUUCGAGACUAGGACGUUGAUAGGUUGGAUGUGGAAGCAUAGUGAUAUGUGAAGCUGACCAAUACUAAUUGCUCGUGAGGCUUGACUAUACAACACCCAAGCAGUUG